AUUUUGUUGCUGUUGUUUUUGCAUUCUACAAUUUAAUCACUUUGUUGUUAAGUACAAUAGCAGUUACACAUGAUUAAAUCCAUUUGUUUAUUUCGAUUAAAAAAAAAAACACAUUUCAUUCUACUUUUUUCACAAUUUGUUUUCCUACUAUUUCGCCUAAAGCCACAUUACGUCAACUGAAAGCAUAGCAAAAGUAGCAAAGACAAACGAGCGAUCGAAAACGGCCGUCGAAGCAGCACACGCUGAGCAACCUGAAUACAAUGAAGCGCUUACAACACACGACACUGGCACAGGUAAGCAGUGACAAAGCAGACAAUAACAACGAUGACACCAAAAAGAAAAAAGAAGAAGCAGAAGCAGAAGAGAAGCUAGAAAGAUAUAUAUGUAUGUAUAUUUGCAUACUGGAAAUGAGCGACAACCAACGAACUGCAGUUUAAACAACAAAGUAACGAACAACGAGCAGGUGUGGGAAUGCUGGUGUCAAUGAUGGCUGUCAGUUUUGGAGUUGCUGCUGGAGUUUGAUUUGUAGCUUCAUGCUUAAGGUUUUUCAAGCCACCUAGAAGGCGGCCACCCAAGUAGAAGCAGCGAGUUGGAAAGCAGCGGCAACUCGGAGGCUGCUUUUUGGUUGUGGGAAAUACACUUUUGUUGAAGAAACUUGCUUGAAGCAAGCACCAAGCGUUAACAGCUCGUUAUGAUGGCGACGGUGAAGACAAGUGGUGUGUUGCAAGAUUAUAAUAGAAAAGAUGUUGGAAAAUUACAAAUAAAGAGUCAAUAAAAAACACUUCUUCACAUACAUACAUGUGUAUGUACAUAUAUCGUAAAGCAACAAUAAUAAAGCUGUAAGAAAUAUAGCAUUCUCUCUUCGAAGAAAUAGUCAUAAUAUUAUGAAAUCGAAAAUAAUAAAAGUUACAAAUGAAUUACACCACAUAAGCGAAAAUGCAUAGAAAAGUGGAGAGUGGCUUCGAACAGCUGUGCAUAUAUCAGGUAUAGAUAGGCAAACGGACGGACAGCUGCUGACGUACUCUAUUCGACUGCGUCUUCUCUUCACACUUCGGGGUAUUUUAUCAGUAACGGGAAUUUGAGAAAUUAAAUUUAAAACACCUGUCAAAGCUAAGCACAAUCAGAGACGGCCGAACCAAUUCUGGACCCUCCCAGACCCCUCGAACCCUAGAUACUUAUC
Zeugodacus cucurbitae (melon fly) is the source of this 1180-nucleotide long non-coding RNA. RefSeq lists it as uncharacterized. The transcript is spliced from 3 exons. NCBI's taxonomy places the organism in Eukaryota, Metazoa, Arthropoda, Insecta, Diptera, Tephritidae. The record is from RefSeq and is a predicted model, not a curated record.